Molecule: transfer RNA, 72 nt
Organism: Wallemia ichthyophaga EXF-994
Lineage: Eukaryota; Fungi; Basidiomycota; Wallemiomycetes; Wallemiales; Wallemiaceae
Rfam family: tRNA
About the family: Transfer RNA (tRNA) molecules are approximately 80 nucleotides in length.
Source: Rfam
UCCUUGUUAGUAUAUCGGUUAGUACGCCCGCUUGUCACGCGGGAGAGCUGGGUUCAACUCCCAGACAGGGAG